ACCCACGUAGGUUGGAGUGACUUGCC
RNAcentral lists this non-coding RNA (26 nucleotides) under Homo sapiens (human). The record is from RNAcentral. Lineage: Eukaryota; Metazoa; Chordata; Mammalia; Primates; Hominidae.